AAUCAGACCAAGCAGAAAAUUGUUAGGGCAAUCUGAACUGAGCCAAAAACUACUAAGGAAAAAUAGUUAUUGCUCGCCUGGCAAAUUGAAUAUUGCCAAUCUUGAACAAUAAAAACUUCAAUAUCUGAUAAAGUCAGAAUAUCAGGAGAGAAUUUUAAGAUAUCCAUCUCAUAUCUGAGAUUUAUGUAACUCAAACAAAUAGUUACAACAUAUAUUUAAUUUUUAAUUUAUAAAUAUAAGAAAUAGGCAUUAAACAGGUACACUUAAUGGCUGGUUGUAAGGCAUUGACUUCACUAUUUCUUUGUCUACAGGCUCCACUUGAAACGCACGUAGCACGCGGACUAUUCUACACAGGCUUAUAGUAGCAUCAAUAUGUAUAAUAAAGAAUAGAGGAAGAAACGACCCGUAUUCCAUUACGCUUACAUUCGCUCAAAUUUUUAUUAUCCCUUCUUGCUCCUAAUCCUCUUUGUUUUAUUAAAAACUAUAGUCAACUAGAUCCGGCUGGCAAUGUUUUUUCCUCUUCUAUUUUUUUUCCCUUUUAAAUGUUAAUACCAGACGGUAAAGACAGAUGUAAGCAGUUGUAAAUGCUAGAUGCUAAAUGCAAUAAGAGCUAUUGUUAUGCUGAGGAGACCUAUGUAUUACUGAUGGUGAGCAUGUGUAACCAUGUGUCUAUGAUGGAAUAUCAUAGAAUAUGCUGAGGUAGAGAUAUAUUGCAAGAACAACUCCAAUCGACCCUUUAAAAACGCUGUGCAAUGCCUGCGGUGUAAGGUAUAAAUUGGGUCGGCUGGUUCCCGAAUAUAGACCCGCGGCUAGCCCGACGUUCGUGCUGACUCAACACUCAAACUCUCACCGGAAGGUAUUGGAGCUCCGGAGGCAGAAGGAGAUGUUGAAGUAGCAGCAGGACGAACAGCAUGUCUACCAUCCUCACCACCGCCCCAAGCAGGACUUUGCAGUAUGCCAACGAUUUGCAAUCUGAAUCUUGUGAAUUAGGUAAGUACACAAUUCUCAAGAAAAAUUUGAAUGUGUGUGUGAGCGAGAGAGAGAGAUGAGUAACGCUUGUGGGAUGGGAAAGGGAAAUGAGGGCUAAGCCAAAAUUCUCUCUUCAAAUCCCUUGCCUCUCUCCAUAUAAAAAGUGUCUGGUCGCAUGGAAACCAAGGGAGAGAAGAAGAAGAAGAAGAAGAAGAAGAAGAGCUUGCAGUUCAGUCACAUUGGUUACUAUAGGUGAAGGUGAGUGAUCUUUAUUUAUCUUUUUAGGGACAAUCAAUCGAUUGGUUCUGGCUGGGAGAACUUCCAACGAUGAUUAAGUAUUUGUAAUACUUCAAUCAUGCGCAUGCUUUUAGUUCCUAUGAUCCAACCAGCGAUUUUUGUGUUUUCUCUCUGUUUGUUAAGAGCGAGUUUCCUUCAAUUGCCGAUGAUGUGUGGCUUCCCUCUACGCAUUUCAGACAGAGGGGAGCUUCCCUUCCCUAUCUAGUUGUGGGUUUAACCCUCCUCUCAUUAGGGUAGGGACUAUAAAUAGUUUUUGUGUUUAUUUCUGUAAUAGGUCUUUAAAUAUACAUUGAGAGGGCUUCUAUUCGACCCGUUAAAGAUUCUUUUUGGUAUUUAAUUGUCUGUGUCAGGUUACAAUUCCAGCGGUGCAUGGUGAGUAAAAGUACCGAUGGUGGGUUGUGGAGUGCUGAUCAGGAGACUGGCCCAGACAGCGUAGAUGAGAUGCCGAAGAACACCGUUGUUGUCUUUGUCCUCUGCUCCAAUCGAUGUUCUACACCACUGGAAGAUCUAGCUUUUUUUUUUUUUUUUAUGUUGUUUGGACUGCCUGGAAGCCUUGGGAUGUGUCUAAGAAGAUCUUCGAGCAUGGUCCUAUAGAAAGAGCUUGCAUGGUUGAUGUCUUGUUCGAUUUUUUUUUUCUAUGGUGCUAAUCUAAGUCUUGAGUAGUUCCAAGGAUGGAAAGGUUGGUCGACAAUGGCAGCGCUGAAGGUUUGGUGUUUCUGUGGAGUGCCGAGUCAAAGUCUAAUGGGUUGAAAAUCCAAUGUGCCUGGGAUUUGUCUUUUGGGCUUUAGAUCCUAUUAGGAUGCUGAGUUUGGAUUCAAUCAGACUUUUUUUUAACUUGGACCCUUUGUGCUAUUUGUUUCAUGUUAGAUUAAGGUUGGAGGCUCGGGCUCAAUUUUUAUGUAACCCAAGACCCUAAAUGAAUACUCUAUGUAAUUAAACCUAGGCCUUUGUUAUGCAAUAAACUCUUAUCAAUUGAUAAACAAAAAAAUCAGCGAUUUUAUUUUUCUUUAA
Long non-coding RNA from Hevea brasiliensis (rubber tree), 2277 nucleotides. RefSeq lists it as uncharacterized. The transcript has 2 exons. Lineage: Eukaryota; Viridiplantae; Streptophyta; Magnoliopsida; Malpighiales; Euphorbiaceae. The record is from RefSeq and is a predicted model, not a curated record.